RNAcentral lists this ribosomal RNA (253 nucleotides) under uncultured bacterium. Its description in RNAcentral is "partial 16S ribosomal RNA". It matches the Rfam family "Bacterial small subunit ribosomal RNA", at positions 524 to 776 of the family's 1533-position model. The record is from RNAcentral.
UACGGGGGGGGCAAGCGUUGUUCGGAAUUACUGGGCGUAAAGAGCGUGUAGGCGGCCCGAUAAGUCCGCUGUGAAAGUCCAGGGCUCAACCCUGGAAUGCCAGUGGAAACUGUCGGGCUGGAGUCCGGAAGAGGCGAGUGGAAUUCCUGGUGUAGCGGUGAAAUGCGCAGAUAUCAGGAGGAACACCAAUGGCGAAGGCAGCUCGCUGGGACGGUACUGACGCUGAGACGCGAAAGCGUGGGGAGCAAACAGG